GACGAACGCUGGCGGCGUGCUUAACACAUGCAAGUCGAACGGUGAAGCGCCUUCCUUUUUGGUGGGUGUGGAUGAGUGGCGAACGGGUGAGUAACACGUGAGUAACCUGCCCCCUUCUUCUGGAUAACCGCAUGAAAGUGUGGCUAAUACGGGAUAUUCUGGGUCUGUCGCAUGAUGGGUCUGGGAAAGAUAUUGUUUCGGUUGGGGAUGGGCUCGCGGCCUAUCAGCUUGUUGGUGGGGUGAUGGCCUACCAAGGCGGUGACGGGUAGCCGGCCUGAGAGGGUGGACGGUCACACUGGGACUGAGACACGGCCCAGACUCCUACGGGAGGCAGCAGUGGGGAAUAUUGCACAAUGGGAGCAAGGCUGGUGCAGCGACGCCGCGUGAGGGAUGGAGGCCUUCGGGUUGUGAACCUCUUUCGCCAGUGAAGCAGGCCUGCCUCGUUUGUGGGUGGGUUGACGGUAGCUGGAUAAGAAGCGCCGGCUAACUACGUG
This 494-nucleotide ribosomal RNA is filed under the name uncultured bacterium. RNAcentral's name for it is "partial 16S ribosomal RNA". It matches the Rfam family "Bacterial small subunit ribosomal RNA", at positions 28 to 507 of the family's 1533-position model. The record is from RNAcentral.